This 792-nucleotide long non-coding RNA is filed under the name Struthio camelus australis. RNAcentral describes it as "lncRNA (ENSSCUG00000015835.1)". The record is from RNAcentral. Lineage: Eukaryota; Metazoa; Chordata; Aves; Struthioniformes; Struthionidae.
AGGUUUGUCGCUCAGGCUUUUUGGUACAUGUACUCAGAAGCACGUGGUGGAGAACGAGGGAUCUUUGUUUAAACAACGUACUAAUUCCUCGUGCCCGCUGAAGGGCCAAGCACGCAGAUACAGUUCAAGUGCUGCUUGAGAAAAUGCUGCUGGGAAAGCGCGCUGGAGGGUUCUUGCACUUCUGUGAACUGCGAGGCAAAAAGCUCUGUGAUAACUGCCUAGACAGAGGAAAACAUAUGAGGGAUGAGAAGCCAAAUGACAAGGCAGGCCCACGAAGAACUUUGCUUAAGGCAGACAAGCAGUUGCCAAAACCAACCUCUGGGAGGUCUGAGAAGAAAUGAUCAAAACGUUGCUGUGUGAUUGCAUCCACUCUGCCAGAAUCUGCAGUUCGUCUACCAUACUUUCAAUUCUGAAGUGCUACCAACAAAAGAACAAAGAAUUGCAGUUCAUAAGAACACUGUUUCAUACCCCUAUACAGAAGAACAAAGAAGUAUAUACAAAGAAAACUGUGCCGUACCCUCAACUCCAGCAGGCCUGACUGAGGUGUGCCGAAGUCCCAGCAGGCUGCGAGAAGUGGUUACGGAGCCCCCAGCAGAAAACCGUAUUUGGGCCCUGAGACCAAAGCAGUCCAUCAAAGGCUUCCUAUAUGUUUUGGUCUGCAUUUACGGUUGGAGGCGUUUCAUGCUUUCCGUGUUGGAUAGAGACGACCAGGUAACACACAUGCUCUAUCUUCAACCCUUGAAAUACAGAGAGGCAAAUAAAUACAAAUACGUGGACAUACGUGUGUACUAG